CUGACUCAGCCGCAGACAUUAGUGUUAGGAAGAUGGCGCACCCGGCGAUGUUUCCUAGAAGGGGCAGCAGCAGUAGCAGCGGCAGCAGCUGCGUUACUGCUCCCACUGCACCAGGUACCGGCGUUGGGAGCGCUGCCCUCUCCAACGAGGAUUAUCAGCCGCCUUUGCUGGUCCAGCCGCCGCCUCCAUCUCCUGCAGCAGCUUCAACAGCGGGUCCACAGCCGACACCCCCUCAUCCACAAAGCCUGAACCUCCUCUCGCAGUCUCAGCUCCAGCCACAGCCCCUUGCGCAGACUGGAGCUCAAAUGAAAAAGAAAAGUGGUUUUCAAAUUACCAGUGUGACCCCUGCUCAGAUAUCAGCUAGUAUGAGCUCUAAUAACAGCAUAGCUGAGGAUACAGAAAGCUACGAUGACCUGGAUGAGUCUCACACUGAAGACCUGUCAUCUUCAGAAAUCUUGGAUGUGUCUUUAUCCAGAGCCACUGACUUGGGAGAACCUGAGAGGAGCUCUUCUGAAGAGACUCUGAAUAACUUCCAAGAGGCAGAGACUCCUGGGGCCGUUUCUCCAAACCAGCCUCAUCUUCCUCAGCAGCAUGCUCCUCUGCCUCAUCACCCACAGCCGAGUGUUGUGAUCAAUGGAAGUGUUCAUCCCCACCAUGUUCAUCAUCACCACCAUCUUCACCACCACCAUCAUGGACACCAUCAUCCAUCACAUCCUGGGGUGGGYACUGCCCCAGUUUCUGGAGGACCACCGCCCAGUCCAUCAUUUAGAAAACUGUCAACAACUGGAAGCUCUGACAAUGUUAUAUCAACUGCACCAGUUUCUGCUGCAUCAUCCACUGGUUCCCUGGCAUCUGCCAUGUCUAAUAUCCGCACUACGAGUACUCCUGGCAAUUUAGGUAUAGGUCCUGCUACUGGAACUAGUACCUUAAAUAAUAUUGGUGGUGGUGGUAGUUCUAGUGUGGCAAGCAAUGUGCUUGGUACUAUAAAUUUAAGCAACAUCACGAGUACUGGUAAUGUAAAUGCUUUGUCUGGAACUAGCAGCAAUGCUAAUGUGAAUAUCUUGAGUGGUGUUGGCAAUGGUACGAGUGCUUCCUCUAGUGUCAUUAACAAUGUUACUAAUCCAACUGCAGGAAUGGCAGUGGGAUCAAGCCAGCAGCAGCCUGCAUCUGGCACAUCAAGGUUUAGGGUUGUAAAGUUAGAUUCUAGUUCUGAACCUUUCAAAAAAGGUAGAUGGACAUGCACUGAAUUCUAUGAUAAAGAAAACACUGUUGCAGUUUCGGAGGGAGUAGCAGUAAACAAAGCAGUAGAGACGAUAAAACAAAACCCUCUUGAAGUGACUUCUGAAAGGGAGAGCACCAGUGGGAGUUCUGUUAGCAGCAAUGUAAGCACACUGAGUCACUAUACAGAAAGUGUGGGAAGUGGAGAAAUGGGAGCACCUACUGUGGUACAGCAGCAAGCAUUUCAAGGUGUGGGUCCACAGCAGAUGGAUUUUAGCGGUUCUGCUCCUCCAGCRAUUCCAGCAUCUAGUAUACCACAGAGUGUUUCUCAAUCACAGCUUGCACAAGUCCAGCUGCAUUCUCAAGAACUAAACUAUCCACAGCAGAAGCCAGGGGUCCAACCUCCUGCACAGGCCAGUCUAACCACUGUUACUGGGGUUCAGCCAACCCCAGUUAACAUACUAGGUGUAUCCCCAUCUCUGGGUCACCAGCAACCUGCCCUUCAGAGUAUGGCUCAACAGCAGCUGCCAUAUUCGCAGCCGGCGCAGCCUGUGCAGACUUUGCCAGUGGUGCAGCAGCAGCAGUUGCAGUAYGGACAACAGCAGCAGCAGCAACAGCAGCAGCCAGUUCCUACGCAGAUGGCCGCAGGUCACGUUAAGCCGGUGAACCAAAACUCUAUCACGGGGGCUAUGCCAGACUACGUUCAACAUCAGCAGAUCCUUCAGACUCCAGCCCCUGCCAUGCAGCCAAGUUCUACAGGAGUUGCAGCUGGGCAACCAGUUGCCCAGGCACAGGGCAUUCAGCCUUCAGUGCAGGCCCAUCCAGCUACUGCCCCAGCUCAGCCUGUUGCACAUGCUCCAGCAGCAAUACCAGGUGUAGCUGCCAGUGGUCAAAUGUUAAAUGUUGGGCAGCAAGGAAGCGUAACUGCUGUGGUGCAACCACCAUCUGCAGCAAACCAAAUUCCACCUCCAGUUAUGCCAUCAACGGCUGCUCCUCCAUCUUCCCAAGUAGUGCAGCCUGUGCAGACAGGAAUAAUGCAGCAGGGAUUACAGGCUAGUGCUACAGGCCUUCCUCAACAAAUGGUCAUAGCUCAGCAAAACACCUUGUUACCUGUGCAGCCACAGGCACAAGGAGUGGAAUCUGUAGUCCAAGGGAUGACUGGUCAGCAGCUGCCUGCGGUAAGCCCUAUACCRUCUGCUAGUACUGUUCCUGCACCAAGUCAAGCUGGUUCAGCUGUGCCUCCUGGCAUACCUUCUGCUUCUGUAGGUUUGGGACAGCCACAGAGUAUAGCACAGGCAUCAGCUGUACAGAAUGGCAAUUUGGCUCAAAGUGUUAGUCAGCCUCCCUUGAUAUCAACAAGUAUAGGUAUGCCGGUGGCACAGAGUGUGCCACAACAGAUGCCACUAAGCUCUACCCAGUUCCCCGCACAAUCACUAGCUCAGUCCAUUGUAAGCCAAAUUGAAGACGGCAGACGCCCUACAGAACCUUCCUUGGUGGGUUUACCUCAAGCUGCCAGCGUCGAGAGUGGUGGUGGAGCAUCGGCCGCUUCAGAUGGUGGUAGCAGCAGCAUGCCAUCCUCUGCAUCCCUCUUUCCGCUGAAGGUGCUGCCGUUGACAACACCUCUUGUAGAUGGUGAGGAUGAGAGCUGCCCACAAAAGUAAAGAACCAGUGUGAGAGUUUGAAGAAAGAAUCCACUCAGAGGACUGAGUCUAAAGGAAAAGCUCCAGGUUGCAGACUCAGAAAGAAACUUCCUUUGGGGAAGGAUCUGCUUCCAGGAUUUGCUCGUCUCUUUUUCCUUGGGCAAACAGUUCUUGAAGCAAACAACAGGGUUGCAGGACACCUUCUAACCUUUAUACUGCAUCACAAGCCUUCAGCAGAAGAUCUUAUGUUGCUGGAAGAUGACUGGGUUUGGAUCUUGGCCUUCCCUAAGCAGGACCUUCUGACAAAAAAUGGGAUUGGGAAAGAAAUGAGACCUUUUUCCAUCACACAGAACCACCUUAGAAAUGGAGGCCUAGGCAGAAAAUUACUUCUAAUGCAUCGUUCAUUAGGAAAUGUGUUUGGCCUCCCACAGUUCUUUUGUUACAGUGUCAUAUAGAUGUCUUUUAUAAAAUCUAAAUCUAGAGUCUUCCUAUCUGAUGAUCAAGUUGGUAAAUCCAAGAUUAAGGGUUUAAGUCUAAUAAUGUGGUCAGAUCUUGCUGUCCCUUGCAUAGGAGGUGCCACAAUAAUCUGUCAAACAGGAUUCUUUCUACUGUGGUUCAGAUUGUUGUAUUUGUAAAGCCUUUUUUACUUAAAUUAACAUGAUUAGAAAUAAUACUAAUAAAGGUUCUUGUGAAAGUUGUAUUUAAUUAGACUUCUACCUUUCAGGUUUACUUGAAAAUAAAUUUGAGCCAAAAUGUCACAAUGGACAAUAUGGGAUGUACUGCAUCUUUUGAGGUUUCCUGUGGCUUUGUGUCACUAAAAAGUAUGUUGGAAGUGUAGAGAGCUAUUAAAGUAGAAAAACUGAGAUUUUUCUUGAAGAGUGAGAAGUUAUUUGUUAGAAAGCAGAAAUCUCUUUAAUUGUUUUCCCCCUAAGGGAUUCUGUAGUCAGACCUAAUUAAAUGUCUUGCAACAUCUCAAAUGAAAACCUUGUGUUUGGCAGUAGUGAACAACACACACAUGCCUGUGUACUUUUGUUGUUCUCUCUAUAGGAAAUUGGUUUUGAAGAAUGGGACUUACUUUAAUGUUCAGAUUAGAAAAGGGCAAAGUUUUGUUUUGAAGCAGAGUGUGAGAAUAGGGGACAGGAGGGCAUACCAGACCCUCUGGCAGUAGGCAAAGAGCACUUUUGUUUUUCUGUUUUCUGCUUCUGGCAGUUGAAGUAAACUAGCCAGAUACUUGUACUUGAAUGCCGUUUAUUUCUUAACUCAGUUACCACAAAACAUUGUUUUUUAACUCAUGCCUAGAUCUUUUGUUAAAUUCACCAACUUACUUAAUUUAUUCAGUGGUCUUAACAUAGCCCUGAGGCUACUGCUUCAUGGCAGUUGUGACUUCUUACUAUGCCGGAAUGCAUUGCAGCCCUCGUACAUUCUAAAAAUAAUUGUUCAGAUGGUGCURUUUAAGUACAUACUUACGUAGUGAGCCAUUUUCACUGGACUUUCUGAAACUGGCAUUCUAUUGGAUGGCUUUUUAAUGUCUUACUUUGCUGUGAGUAUCAAACUUGUUUGUCUUUCUGCUUAUGUGGUUAUUGAGUAAAGUGCUGAAUUUAUAAUGUGAUAUUUUUAGAGAACUGAUAGUCAGAUGUGUGUGUUAAACUGAAACCACAGGAACGCUUGUUAACUUACAAGUUUAAAAAGAAAUCAGCUUAACUCCAAUGUAUCAAAAUCAAUCCUGUUAGAAUAUGUGGAAAUAUGUAUGUGAUGAACAUAAAAUUGAGUAGUUGUUACAGGUAUAGACAUGAAUUGUCUGAACAGAAGUAAUCUAGAAGUUAAUAGCUCUGGGUCUCAGAAAUGAAUUCUAACAUCGACGACUAGAGUUUUGUGCCAGCAGUGCUUGUAGUUGAAAAUACCUGGUUUUCUAACUUCUAGUUCAUUUAAGGUCUGAUAUCCUUUGUGCCUUAAYAGAUAUGCUUGCACUUGCCUCAGCCAUAGUUUUUGUGGAUUCUGUUCUCUGGUGGGUGUGUUUAGGACUGUCAGAUACUUAGAAAAUGGGCACUGAGAUCUGUUUAUGUUAUUGUCUCAGUUCCUAAAAUGGCUUUACUCUUCCCCAUCACAAUUAGGAAAAAAACCCCACCAAAAUAAAAGCAAAAACCAAACUGAAAACCCUGUUGCGAUUCUACAGUCAGUAUUUUGAUACUUGUCUGUCACCAUUGUGUUAGCAUGUUUCUGUCAUGCACUGAGUUUUACAGCUGGAAUCCUGGGUUCUUGAUACAUCGUUAGAGCAAUAACUCCUGCCUUUUUGUUAUUAAAUAAUAAAGAUAUCUGAAACAAGUUUCUUCUUGUUU
This is an RNA transcript of Malurus melanocephalus (red-backed fairy wren), 5194 nucleotides long. It is a transcript of the gene named TSC22 domain family member 1, with no coding region annotated. The record is from RefSeq and is a predicted model, not a curated record. Lineage: Eukaryota; Metazoa; Chordata; Aves; Passeriformes; Maluridae. The transcript is spliced from 3 exons.